GGGGGGCACAUGUUUUGGAAAUUUCUUUGAUGUGCAGCAACAUGUACGCUGCAUUUCUUCGUUUUAUUGAGGUAUAAAUUCGAAUUCCACCAAACACUGAAUGUUACUUUCCGAAGCAACGAAAUCUAGAUUGCGACGCGCUUUUGUAAGCCAGUCAUAGCUCAUGUCACAUGAUCUCAGCAGCUGAUGAUAGCACAGGACACGUAGAGUGGUCAACCAAUAGUAAGAUCACUCUUAAGCAGCGCGAACACACAAAAAGAAAAGUUAAUGGUUUAAAUUAAUAUACAUAGUUUUGCUAGAAGAAAAACAGCUUUCACAAAUAAUAUUGGUCUCUUAAGAUUAAUAAGCUGCAGAGAGGCUAAGCUUCCACAUAUGAUGUGGACCAUUUUCCGCGUGCCAGUAAAAUUUUUAAUAACGGCGUAAAUGUCUGAUCUUCUGGCCUCAAAAUUCUUCUAGAUGGUCGUCCUCAAAGAGUUGAUUUUUAAAUGAGAGUAAAACGCUCUGUGAUUUAAGAAAUUCAUUGUACAUUCUCGCACAUAGUUAAUCUUGCGUAAAAGAAAAAUAACAGGCGUCACUGCGCCUGCUGCGCAGCUACGACGACGCAGGAAGCUCGCAUGUUAGUAAGUGUAAAAUAUUAAACGAUCUUGCAUUAUGUCAUAAAAGAAACAAGACAUCAAAGGAUACUUCAGGAGCAUCGGAAUUUCGUGAACUAUAUUAAAAUGCAUAAUUCGGCUUCUAGUGCACAAUCGAUGUCCAGAUUCGGAUGUAAAUUUUCUUGAGUACCAGUACUGUAUUAUCUCAUGUUUGGUUCUUUAUUAUGGCAUAAUGCCAUACGAGCUAGAAAACUGAAAACGUGCACUUGAAAUACAGCGAACAGUUGAAACUAGCCAACAGUGUGAAAUUAAACACUUCGCUUCAAAUAAAUUGACUGCCUCAGCGCAAAAUAUUAAUAAAACCAAAUCUCUUUAGCAAACCGACAAAAACAACUUCAUUGUUCUGCAAGGUGAUUAAUGCUCGACUGUCAGAAAGGUGGAAAUAAAACCGAAACUAACAACAUAUUUUAGCCUUCCGUAAUUAUGCGAACAUAUAUUAAUUCAUUUGGUAGCUCCCAGCCACAGAAAUCAGUUUUGUUUUCAUUUAAUGUGAGAGCAAUAAACAGAGAGGAAGCGGCAAAAUCACUAAACGUGAACACAGGUCACGUGGAGACUACCCACCUCCCCACUACAACUGCUCUAUGCAUCAGCCCUGGAUCUACGAAAUUUCUGAACCGGAGCAAUUUAGAUAGUGGCGCCCAGCCACACUUCUGUAGCCAGAAGCGGGAGAAAGUACUACUCAUAGGCGACUGUACUGCGCAUGCGCAAGAGCCCGCCCACAACUGCUCAAAUGAAUCAAAUGGAAACAGCUGUCAUGUCACGCUUAUCGGAGGCAAUUUGUUGUUAGGAAGCACUGCAUUUUCUUCCUAAAGGCUUUCAUACACUUUGGUUAGCAGCGCUUGUAAGAGCAUUGUGUUUUGUUGUUAUAUAUGGCACCUUUCCUAUGUGACUUAAGGUUUUUUUUUCCUCUCGUUCAUGGUUUUUUGCUGCAGCAUUAUUCUGCAGAAGCGGGAUACAGUAAUAUCCUUCGUUAGAGUAUUGGUUCUUACCAGUCAAAAUCACAAAAAUUUAACUGGUAACUAAAACAAGGAAAAGUUCCUGGAAUUCUAAAAAAUUUCCCAGGUUUUUCCCAGUUUUCCCCCAGACGAAAAACUUCCCGAGUUUUUCCCGGAUCGUAUACACCCUGCAACAGUAAUGGACAAUGCACCAUACCUCUGUUGUGAUGGCUAAAGCUCCAACAAUGUCGUGGAAGAAAGUGGAUAUUGUGCUCUGGGUACAAAUAGAUAUUUCAUUGAAUGAAGUUCAACCUAGCAUGUACAAGGUGUGAGUUAAUGAAACUUUUAGUGCUGUACAAGCCAAAAACUCCAUUGUACAAGGUCAAUAAACUGGCUAAUGUUAAAGGACAUAGUUUUAGCUGGCUUUUUCUGUACCACAUUUAAAUGAUUGGUCUCGAGCUGUCAUCCAUACCGAAAUGGUAGUUGAUGAGAUAUGGAUUCUUUAAGUACUAUUACGAGUUUUGAGUAGUACGUAACUGCUCCUAUUGCCACGUUAAAAUUGUUUCAUUUGCCAAAACAUAGCAGAGUUUACAAAUACGAAUCCUACUAACAUCUAGUGAUGCUGGAACUGUGACAGAAUACUGAAACAGUGUUAAACUUGCCAGGCAGGGCAAUAGUUUAUGAAAAAGUCCACCCUCAGAAUAAAAACCAAACUUCUGUACUUAUGUUGUUUCUCAAGAUUGCUGCCUGGCUCAAAUAUCCUUCCGGGCUUGCAGAAUAAUUCGAAGCAAUCCCUAUUUUCACUGCAAACUUUAGGAAUUUCUUGCAGUAGUGUA
Molecule: long non-coding RNA, 2424 nt
Organism: Schistocerca cancellata (South American locust)
Lineage: Eukaryota; Metazoa; Arthropoda; Insecta; Orthoptera; Acrididae
Exons: 2
Source: RefSeq, a predicted model, not a curated record